AGGGAUCAUUACAGAGUUAUCUAACUCCCAAACCCAUGUGAACUUACCUUACUGUUGCCUCGGCAGGCUUCCGCAUCCCUUGAGGUGCGGGCCAAAAGGCCUGCCGGCGGCCCCUUCAAACUCUUGAAUUACCCUGUAACUCUGAGUAAAAAACAAAAAUAAAUCAAAACUUUUAACAACGGAUCUCUUGGUUCUGGCAUCGAUGAAGAACGCAGCGAAAUGCGAUAAGUAAUGUGAAUUGCAGAAUUCAGUGAAUCAUCGAAUCUUUGAACGCACAUUGCGCCUAUUAGUAUUCUAGUAGGCAUGCCUAUUCGAGCGUCAUUUCAACCCUUAAGCUUAGCUUAGUGUUGGGAGAUUACUCCUUGUAACUCCCCAAAACCAUUGGCAGAGUUGAUACACCUCUGAGCGUAGUAAUUUCACCUCGCUUCUGCGGCCUGUAUUAGCAAUCGCCACAAGCCUAUUAUUUCUUAUGGUUGACCUCGGAUUAGGUAGGAAUACCCGCUGAACUUAAGCAUAUCAAUAAGCGGAGGAAAAGAAACCAACAGGGAUUGCCCUAGUAACGGCGAGUGAAGCGGCAACAGCUCAAAUUUGAAAUCUGGCCUAGCCCGAGUUGUAAUUUGUAGAGGAUGCUUUUGGCGCGGUGCCUUCCGAGUUCCCUGGAACGGGACGCCUUANAGGGUGAGAGCCCCGUACGGUUGGUCGCUAAGCCUUUGUAAAGCUCCUUCGACGAGUCGAGUAGUUUGGGAAUGCUGCUCUAAAUGGGAGGUAUAUUUCUUCUAAAGCUAAAUACCGGCCAGAGACCGAUAGCGCACAAGUAGAGUGAUCGAAAGAUGAAAAGCACUUUGAAAAGAGGGUUAAAUAGCACGUGAAAUUGUUGAAAGGGAAGCGCCCGUGACCAGACUUGCACCUUUUGAAUCAUCCAGCGUUCUCGCUGGUGCACUUCAUUUGGUUCAGGCCAGCAUCGGUUUCCGCUGCGGGAUAAAAGCUCUAGGAAUGUGGCUCCCCCGGGAGUGUUAUAGCCUAGUGUAUAAUGCCGCUGUGGGGACCGAGGU
RNAcentral lists this ribosomal RNA (1052 nucleotides) under uncultured fungus. RNAcentral's name for it is "eukaryotic LSU rRNA". The stretch from base 475 to 1052 matches the Rfam family "Eukaryotic large subunit ribosomal RNA", at positions 1 to 592 of the family's 3401-position model. The record is from RNAcentral. Lineage: Eukaryota; Fungi.